RNAcentral lists this ribosomal RNA (176 nucleotides) under Salmonella enterica subsp. enterica serovar Thompson. RNAcentral describes it as "partial 23S ribosomal RNA". It matches the Rfam family "Bacterial large subunit ribosomal RNA", at positions 1 to 177 of the family's 2925-position model. Lineage: Bacteria; Pseudomonadati; Pseudomonadota; Gammaproteobacteria; Enterobacterales; Enterobacteriaceae. The record is from RNAcentral. RNAcentral also lists the same sequence under 2 other names.
GGUUAAGCGACUAAGCGUACACGGUGGAUGCCCUGGCAGUCAGAGGCGAUGAAGGACGUGCUAAUCUGCGAUAAGCGCCGGUAAGGUGAUAUGAACCGUUAUAACCGGCGAUUUCCGAAUGGGGAAACCCAGUGUGAUUCGUCACACUAUCAUUACGUGAAUACAUAGCGUAAUGA